RNAcentral lists this non-coding RNA (178 nucleotides) under Ligilactobacillus apodemi. RNAcentral describes it as "Lactobacillus apodemi Lysine sequence". It matches the Rfam family "Lysine riboswitch aptamer". From Rfam's summary of the family: Riboswitches are metabolite binding domains within certain messenger RNAs that serve as precision sensors for their corresponding targets. Allosteric rearrangement of mRNA structure is mediated by ligand binding, and this results in modulation of gene expression. Lineage: Bacteria; Bacillati; Bacillota; Bacilli; Lactobacillales; Lactobacillaceae. The record is from RNAcentral. RNAcentral also lists the same sequence under 1 other name.
CGUCGAAGAAGAGGUCGCAAAAACCAUCAGUAACUGGAUCGAGUUGAUAAAGCAACGGUGAGAUGCAGUGAAAGGGGAAUUUGCCGAAGCGAGCCAAACUUUAUUUUGGUAAAGCUGGGUCCUAGUUUAAGAGACUAGGAACUGUCGUGGUCAAAAACUACGGAGCGCUAUCGAGAUG